UGAGGCGUGGCUUCCGGAGCUAACGCGUUAAGUCGACCGCCUGGGGAGUACGGCCGCAAGGUUAAAACUCAAAUGAAUUGACGGGGGCCCGCACAAGCGGUGGAGCAUGUGGUUUAAUUCGAUGCAACGCGAAGAACCUUACCUACUCUUGACAUCCAGAGAACUUAGCAGAGAUGCUUUGGUGCCUUCGGGAACUCUGAGACAGGUGCUGCAUGGCUGUCGUCAGCUCGUGUUGUGAAAUGUUGGGUUAAGUCCCGCAACGAGCGCAACCCUUAUCCUUUGUUGCCAGCGGUUAGGCCGGGAACUCAAAGGAGACUGCCAGUGAUAAACUGGAGGAAGGUGGGGAUGACGUCAAGUCAUCAUGGCCCUUACGAGUAGGGCUACACACGUGCUACAAUGGCGCAUACAAAGAGAAGCGACCUCGCGAGAGCAAGCGGACCUCAUAAAGUGCGUCGUAGUCCGGAUUGGAGUCUGCAACUCGACUCCAUGAAGUCGGAAUCGCUAGUAAUCGUGGAUCAGAAUGCCACGGUGAAUACGUUCCCGGGCCUUGUACACACCGCCCGUCACACCAUGGGAGUGGGUUGCAAAAGAAGUAGGUAGCUUAACCUUCGGGAGGGCGCUUACCACUUUGUGAUUCAUGACUGGGGUGAAGUCGUAACAAGGUA
This 665-nucleotide ribosomal RNA is filed under the name Enterobacteriaceae bacterium EKM102Z. RNAcentral's name for it is "bacterial SSU rRNA". It matches the Rfam family "Bacterial small subunit ribosomal RNA", at positions 833 to 1498 of the family's 1533-position model. Lineage: Bacteria; Pseudomonadati; Pseudomonadota; Gammaproteobacteria; Enterobacterales; Enterobacteriaceae. The record is from RNAcentral.